Molecule: ribosomal RNA, 339 nt
Filed under: Acinetobacter baumannii
Lineage: Bacteria; Pseudomonadati; Pseudomonadota; Gammaproteobacteria; Moraxellales; Moraxellaceae
Description: bacterial SSU rRNA
Rfam family: Bacterial small subunit ribosomal RNA
Source: RNAcentral
UUUAACUGAAGAGUUUGAUCAUGGCUCAGAUUGAACGCUGGCGGCAGGCUUAACACAUGCAAGUCGAGCGGGGGAAGGUAGCUUGCUACCGGACCUAGCGGCGGACGGGUGAGUAAUGCUUAGGAAUCUGCCUAUUAGUGGGGGACAACAUCUCGAAAGGGAUGCUAAUACCGCAUACGUCCUACGGGAGAAAGCAGGGGAUCUUCGGACCUUGCGCUAAUAGAUGAGCCUAAGUCGGAUUAGCUAGUUGGUGGGGUAAAGGCCUACCAAGGCGACGAUCUGUAGCGGGUCUGAGAGGAUGAUCCGCCACACUGGGACUGAGACACGGCCCAGACUCCU